CGCACAUUGCGCCCCUUGGUAUUCCAUGGGGCAUGCCUGUUCGAGCGUCAUUUGUACCUUCAAGCUCUGCUUGGUGUUGGGUGUUUGUCUCCUGUAGACUCGCCUUAAAACAAUUGGCAGCCGGCGUAUUGAUUUCGGAGCGCAGUACAUCUCGCGCUUUGCACUCAUAACGACGACAUCCAAAAGUACAUUUUUACACUCUUGACCUCGGAUCAGGUAGGGAUACCCGCUGAACUUAA
RNAcentral lists this unclassified non-coding RNA (239 nucleotides) under fungal sp. RNAcentral describes it as "partial contains 5.8S ribosomal RNA, internal transcribed spacer 2, and large subunit ribosomal RNA". Lineage: Eukaryota; Fungi. The record is from RNAcentral.